CCUACGUGGGGCAGCAGUGAGGAAUAUUGGUCAAUGGGCGCGAGCCUGAACCAGCCAAGUAGCGUGAAGGAUGACUGCCCUACGGGUUGUAAACUUCUUUUAUAAAGGAAUAAAGUGAGGCACGUGUGCCUUUUUGUAUGUACUUUAUGAAUAAGGAUCGGCUAACUCCGUGCCAGCAGCCGCGGUAAUACGGAGGAUCCGAGCGUUAUCCGGAUUUAUUGGGUUUAAAGGGAGCGUAGAUGGGUUGUUAAGUCAGUUGUGAAAGUUUGCGGCUCAACCGUAAAAUUGCCAUUGAUACUGGCAGUCUUGAGUACAGUUGAGGUAGGCGGAAUUCGUGGUGUAGCGGUGAAAUGCUUAGAUAUCACGAAGAACUCCGAUUGCGAAGGCAGCUUACUAAACUGCCACUGACAUUGAUGCUCGAAAGUGUGGGUAUCAAACAGGAUUAGAUACCCUUGUAGUC
This 460-nucleotide ribosomal RNA is filed under the name uncultured bacterium. RNAcentral's name for it is "partial 16S ribosomal RNA". It matches the Rfam family "Bacterial small subunit ribosomal RNA", at positions 338 to 795 of the family's 1533-position model. The record is from RNAcentral.